AUAUCAUUAAGCGGAGGAAAAGAAACUAACCAGGAUUCCCUCAGUAACGGCGAGUGAAGUGGGAAGAGCUCAAGUUUUAAAUCUGGGGGGUUUCCUCUCCGAAUUGUAACUAUAGAGGCGUUUUUCUGUGGCUGGAGCGGUAAAAGUGUCUUGGAAAAGGCCAUCAAAGAGGGUGAGAAUCCCGUUUUGACCGCUUGUUCAGGCUGCUGUAUGAUACGCUUUCUACGAGUCGAGUUGUUUGGGAAUGCAGCUCAAAAUGGGUGGUAAAUUUCAUCUAAAGCUAAAUAAUGGCAAGAGACCGAUAGCGCACAAGUA
Molecule: ribosomal RNA, 315 nt
Filed under: uncultured eukaryote
Lineage: Eukaryota
Description: partial large subunit ribosomal RNA
Rfam family: Eukaryotic large subunit ribosomal RNA
Source: RNAcentral